Molecule: non-coding RNA, 2179 nt
Organism: Salmo salar (Atlantic salmon)
Lineage: Eukaryota; Metazoa; Chordata; Actinopteri; Salmoniformes; Salmonidae
Source: RefSeq, a predicted model, not a curated record
AGGGUAAUUUGCAUAUUUUCAGGGGUGCUCAGAGAGUUCUAAAUCGAAUGUGCCGCUUGUGUUGAGGAAGGAGAGAGGUGGAGUGGAGGAGCAGCAUAGACCUCUAUGCAAAUGUUUCAAACCUGAGCCUCCCUCCAGAGAUGUUGCACUGGGACCUAAACUAUGGGAGAGUUUGAAAAAAUUAGAGUAAUGCCUGUGUAAAACAAGAGUGGCCCUUGAGAUGUCCAACAGAUACACGGAGUGCUCUGGUGACUCUACUCAAAGUGCACUUCUAUCCCCCAAAAUAUCCUCCCCAAAACGGGAGAUUCAUGGUGCACGUUGAGACGUGGAACGAACGUUCACUUGACACAGUGACGGCAAUAAUGAAGGAGAUACUUCCUCCCUGUCUCCAUCCCUGCGCCUGAAGAAAUGUAAAGGUGAAAAGCAUGUGCGUUUCCUUCCGGAUGAGGAGAUUAUGUGAGGCUUGGCUGAGCGAAAGGACUUGAGCAAUGGGAGAGCUGAUGUCCUCUUUGUCUUCUCAUCCUUGAUGCCUCUGAGUAAGGAAUGCAUUUUUGAGAGAACUUUUAGGGAGUAAUAUAGGCUCCCUCAUAGGGUAUUGAUCUCAAAUUGACAAGCCUAUUAGACUAGUUGUUGUAUAGGCCUGUGGGCAUAUUGUUGUUCUGUGGAGGGCUGAUGACAUGUAGGCCUAACACUGAACAUUUUUACACUCUGCUCAUUGAAAAGUUGGACAUUUUACAUUAUUUUCAUUCAUCUGACUCCUGAUUUGUAUUCUUGCCCUUCUAGCUUUCCCUCCCUGUUAUCCCCUCCCUCUUUUAUUUAUCAGUGAUUUGCAUAAACAUUGUAACCAACACAGAAUCACAGCAGUAUCUCCUAGUGACCUAAAUGUUUUGUAGUAAAUUAAUUAAUUACUGUAGAUAACUUUUAAUUAAUGGCCAGGAUUGGCACACCCUGAGGCACACACACACACACACACCUUUCUUAUCACAUUCAAGAUAAGUGUUGUUAUUGGUUUAGAGGGAGCUGUCGUUCUCUGGAUAGACCGACCUACAGUAUGUUUACAUAACCAUUGAAAUGACUAUGGAGGCCAUUGUCAUGUUAUGUUUUUUUGUUUUUGUGAUGAAUGCUGUGAAAUACAUUGUUUAUAUGCGAUACAUCAUUUGUGUCACACUAAAGUUUUAUCAAGUUUGAGACAGUCAGUGAGUCAAGUGUUCGCAUCUGCAAGUCCUAUAGGCCUAGGUACAUCUGUUAGACUCACUCCAUAAGAAAGGCAUCUGUGAUGAAUUUGAUCACUUGAUUGUUUGAUUUCUAAGGCAGACACUUAUCCUCGCUACCCGUCCCACUCCCGAAUGACUUCCAUCUUCUCCCUUCCCCACAGUCAGUCAAUCAGAUGGGUACAGACUGCGUUCCAAAUGGAACCCCAUGUGUUUGAUGUAUUUGAUACCAUUCCACUUGUUCUUCGAGCCUGUACUCUCCAAUUAAGGUGCCACAGCCCUCCUAUGCUUUCAACAUGCCACUGAAAAAGUCGAAAGCUGCAAUUCAUUUGAUCAUAUCUGAAAAUACUGCAGAGUAAUUCAAAACCAUUUGCAAACAUUGCAAACACCAAGUUGGAUUCUUAGCAAAAACAACUUUGAAUCUCUUUGACCAUCUGAGGGUAAUUGUUCUUGUUUCAAACACACACGAUACCAUCGAUCAAGGAGUAGUUUACUCAGAAUACAAACUAACAUGAUUUUCCCACCGAAAGCAGGUUUGGUAUAUGUUUCCCUUUGACACUUAACAGCCAUAUUUUGUUACUAUUAGCAUUCUCAGUAACACUUGAAAUAAAAUGGUUCUUGUGCCUGUGUAAUGAAAUUGGAAUUACUUUUUGAGCAACAUUUUAUUAGCAUGUUGUUUCAUAAUACUUUGGUAAUUGCAUUUUAAUUGCAUUGCAAGGAGCUGAGAGUUUUUGUAACUACUGUACAUGAGGAAUAGUUACUGUUCCUUAUUCCACUGAUGUAAUUAUUAUGCAGUUAUAUUAUUAUGCAGUUAUAAAGCAAUUUCCAAAGUCCUAUGUAACAACGUUGAUAUUGUAAUAAUCACAAAGUUACUAGACAUGUAUAUGAACUUGAUGUGAUGUGUUACUGUAUUACCUUAUGUCACUCAUUAUGAAAAUAUAUUUGUUCGUCAUUUUGAAGCUGCAAAA